Molecule: long non-coding RNA, 210 nt
Organism: Chiloscyllium plagiosum (whitespotted bambooshark)
Lineage: Eukaryota; Metazoa; Chordata; Chondrichthyes; Orectolobiformes; Hemiscylliidae
Source: RefSeq, a predicted model, not a curated record
CACAGCAAGUCAGGCAGCAUCCGAGGAACAGGAGAGUCGGCUUUUUGGGCAUAAGCCCUUCAUCAGGGAUGAGAUAAUGACACAGCAGCCCAUCGUCUGGAGUUUACGAGGUGGAAGUGGCCUCUGUACUGAGACAUGGAUAGUCUGUCAGAUUGGUACUUCCAUAUAAUUGUAUACAUCCUGAAGAAGGGUUAUACCCGAAACAUUGAC